ACUAAUUGAAAAAAUACACCUAAAAAUCUACUCCUAUAUAAUAAUACCUACACCAAAAAAAUAUCUUCUACACAAAGAGACCCUAGCAAAGAAUCCGUCAUUCUUCUUAAGACUAUCAGCGGAAAUACCACCUGAAAAGGCCUAAGACCAAAGAGACCUCAAACAAUGGAGAAGCCGACGUUUUGGACCUUGAAACCCCCUUCCCCACAUCGUUCUGCUUGAGAAAAAAGACCAUCGAUUAGCAACUUCUCUGGUUGAUUUUGAGAGGAUCGUUCAAACACCCUUGUGAACACACAUCAUUUUUAGACCUUUUUAUCCAUCGAGACUACCCAAAAUCAUACAGAUAUGUAAUCCAAAAACAGAGACGUUUCUAUUUCUUCUCCUUGACUUCGAUUUUGAUUUUUUGAUUUCAAAUUCAUGGAGUUCACCUGAAUUCAAAACUGUUUUGUGUUCGGGUUGUGCGAAGAUCAUUGGUGAGGUUCGAGUCUGCGGAUCCGUAUUCGGGUUUUUGUUGUCGUUGUGGUUUCUGAUCCGAAUCUGUUUGCAACCUUUGUGCUUGCCGUUACCACACUACCAAUUUGGGGAAUCGAGGUUCCGUUCGCUUUGGUCAUAGUUCAUUUCGCACCUGAAUCUGAAUGUUUGCAUCAUAUGUAUCGAAGAACAUUUUCCAUAUGUGAAGGUCCGAUAUUUUAACUUUCUCACCUAUUUCCUCUUUAAACCGGCUGCAAUAAUAGUUACUUUGGCUUGAUUUUUUUUUUUCUGGUUUGGAUUUUGUGUUUAUGUAUAGUUGGAUUAUUUGUUAUGUUCUUGGCUAGUUUUUACGUGAAAUGUGUCCAUGUAAUCACAUUAAGUUUAGUUCGUUUGCCAAUGUUGUUCAUGAGAAUGUGAUGUCAUUAUUUUAUUUAGGAAAAUGUUGUUAAGAGUUGAGACAAAUAAUUACGUUGAAAAUAAGGAAGAUUAAUAUUGUGAUUAUUAUUACUAGAGCUAGUAGCUGGAAGUCACUGGCCAGCUAUGCCAAUUUCUUGUUGUGUAGUGUUAAAUGAAUAGUUUGGUUGUAUAUCCAGGGUUAAUUAAUUAUAUAAUGAGUAGAUACAGAUUUGUUUCUUAUCAAU
RNAcentral lists this long non-coding RNA (1112 nucleotides) under Nicotiana benthamiana. RNAcentral's name for it is "long non-coding RNA (NBEN_LNC022290)". The record is from RNAcentral. Lineage: Eukaryota; Viridiplantae; Streptophyta; Magnoliopsida; Solanales; Solanaceae.